This 253-nucleotide ribosomal RNA is filed under the name uncultured bacterium. RNAcentral describes it as "partial 16S ribosomal RNA". It matches the Rfam family "Bacterial small subunit ribosomal RNA", at positions 524 to 776 of the family's 1533-position model. The record is from RNAcentral.
UACGAAGGGGGCUAGCGUUGUUCGGAUUUACUGGGCGUAAAGGGCGUGUAGGCGGUCCGCUAAGUCUGAUGUGAAAGCCCGGGGCUCACCCCCGGAAGGGCAUUGGAAACUGGCGGACUCGAGUCCCGGAGAGGAAGGUGGAAUUCCUGGUGUAGCGGUGAAAUGCGUAGAUAUCAGGAGGAAUACCGGUGGCGAAGGCGGCCUUCUGGACGGUGACUGACGCUGAGACGCGAAAGCGUGGGGAGCAAACAGG